Molecule: ribosomal RNA, 462 nt
Filed under: uncultured bacterium
Lineage: Bacteria
Description: partial 16S ribosomal RNA
Rfam family: Bacterial small subunit ribosomal RNA
Source: RNAcentral
GAUAAACGCUGGCGGCGUGCUUAACACAUGCAAGUCGAACGAAGUUUUUCCUUCGGGAGAAACUUAGUGGCGGGCGGGUGAGUAACGCGUGGGUAACCUGCCCUGUACAGGGGGACAACAGCUGGAAACGGCUGCUAAUACCGCAUAAGCCCUUAGCACUGCAUGGUGCAUAGGGAAAAGGAGCAAUCCGGUACAGGAUGGACCCGCGUCUGAUUAGCCAGUUGGCAGGGUAACGGCCUACCAAAGCGACGAUCAGUAGCCGAUCUGAGAGGAUGUACGGCCACAUUGGGACUGAGACACGGCCCAGACUCCUACGGGAGGCAGCAGUGGGGAAUAUUGCACAAUGGAGGAAACUCUGAUGCAGCGACGCCGCGUGAGUGAAGAAGUAUUUCGGUAUGUAAAGCUCUAUCAGCAGGGAAGAAAAUGACGGUACCUGACUAAGAAGCACCGGCUAAAUACGUG